Macaca mulatta (Rhesus monkey) is the source of this 16302-nucleotide non-coding RNA. The record is from RefSeq and is a predicted model, not a curated record. NCBI's taxonomy places the organism in Eukaryota, Metazoa, Chordata, Mammalia, Primates, Cercopithecidae.
AGACUGCAUUCAGUGAAACCAAAGCAACAGUCCGAGCAGCUUUCAGAAUGACAGUCUGCAGAAGUGAGCUGAGCGUGUGCGCGGUACGGGGCUCUCCUGCCUUCUGGGCUCCAACGCAGCUCUGUGGCUGAACUGGGUGCUCACCACGGGAACUGCUGGGCUAUGGAAUACAGAUGUGGCAGCUCAGGUAGCCCCACAUUGCCUGGAGGAAUACAUCAUGUUUUCCGAUAAGAAGAAAUUGUAGGAGCUAGUUUUUUUUUUUUUUAACCGUCCCCCCGCCCCCCAAAAAACUGUAAAGAUGCAAAAACGUAAUAUCCAUGAAGAUCCUAUUACCUAGGAAGAUUUUGAUGUUUUGCUGCGAAUGCGGUGUUGGGAUUUAUUUGUUCUUGGAGUGUUCUGCGUGGCUGGCAAAGAAUAAUGUUCCAAAAUCGGUCCAUCUCCCAAGGGGUCCAAUUUUUCUUCCUGGGUGUCAGCGAGCCCUGACUCACUACAGUGCAGCUGACAGGGGCUGUCAUGCAACUGGCCCCUAAGCCAAAGCAAAAGACCUAAGGACGACCUUUGAACAAUACAAAGGAUGGGUUUCAAUGUAAUUAGGCUACUGAGCGGAUCAGCUGUAGCACUGGUUAUAGCCCCCACUGUCUUACUGACAAUGCUUUCUUCUGCCGAACGAGGAUGCCCUAAGGGCUGUAGGUGUGAAGGCAAAAUGGUAUAUUGUGAAUCUCAGAAAUUACAGGAGAUACCCUCAAGUAUAUCUGCUGGUUGCUUAGGUUUGUCCCUUCGCUAUAACAGCCUUCAAAAACUUAAGUAUAAUCAAUUCAAAGGGCUCAACCAGCUCACCUGGCUAUACCUUGACCAUAACCAUAUCAGCAAUAUUGACGAAAAUGCUUUUAAUGGAAUACGCAGACUCAAAGAGCUGAUUCUUAGUUCCAAUAGAAUCUCCUAUUUUCUUAACAAUACCUUCAGACCUGUGACAAAUUUACGGAACUUGGAUCUGUCCUAUAAUCAGCUGCAUUCUCUGGGAUCUGAACAGUUUCGGGGCUUGCGGAAGCUGCUGAGUUUACAUUUACGGUCUAACUCCCUGAGAACCAUCCCUGUGCGAAUAUUCCAAGACUGCCGCAACCUGGAACUUUUGGACCUGGGAUAUAACCGGAUCCGAAGUUUAGCCAGGAAUGUCUUUGCUGGCAUGAUCAGACUCAAAGAACUUCACCUGGAGCACAAUCAAUUUUCCAAGCUCAACCUGGCCCUUUUUCCAAGGUUGGUCAGCCUUCAGAACCUUUACUUGCAGUGGAAUAAAAUCAGUGUCAUAGGACAGACCAUGUCCUGGACUUGGAGCUCCUUACAAAGGCUUGAUUUAUCAGGCAAUGAGAUUGAAGCUUUCAGUGGACCCAGUGUUUUCCAGUGCGUCCCAAAUCUGCAGCGCCUCAACCUGGAUUCCAACAAGCUCACAUUUAUUGGUCAAGAGAUUUUGGAUUCUUGGAUAUCCCUCAAUGACAUCAGUCUUGCUGGGAAUAUAUGGGAAUGCAGCAGAAAUAUUUGCUCCCUUGUAAACUGGCUGAAAAGUUUUAAAGGUCUAAGAGAGAAUACAAUUAUCUGUGCCAGUCCCAAAGAGCUGCAAGGAGUAAACGUGAUCGAUGCAGUGAAGAACUACAGCAUCUGUGGCAAAAGUACUACAGAGAGGUUUGAUCUGGCCAGGGCUCUCCCAAAGCCGACGUUUAAGCCCAAGCUCCCCAGGCCGAAGCAUGAGAGCAAACCCCCUUUGCCCCCGACGGUGGGAGCCACAGAGCCCGGCCCAGAGACGGAUGCUGACGCCGAGCACAUCUCUUUCCAUAAAAUCAUCGCGGGGAGCGUAGCGCUUUUCCUGUCCGUGCUCGUCAUCCUGCUGGUUAUCUACGUGUCAUGGAAGCGGUACCCUGCGAGCAUGAAGCAGCUGCAGCAGCGCUCCCUCAUGCGAAGGCACAGGAAAAAGAAAAGACAGUCCCUAAAGCAAAUGACUCCCAGCACCCAGGAAUUUUAUGUAGAUUAUAAACCCACCAACACGGAGACCAGCGAGAUGCUGCUGAAUGGGACGGGACCCUGCACCUAUAACAAAUCGGGCUCCAGGGAGUGUGAGAUACCUUUAUCAAUGAAUGUGUCAACCUUUCUGGCAUACGACCAGCCCACAAUAAGUUACUGUGGGGUGCAUCAUGAACUUCUCUCCCAUAAGUCCUUUGAAACGAAUGCACAGGAAGAUACGAUGGAAACACACCUAGAGACUGAGCUGGACCUGAGCACAAUCACAACAGCUGGCCGAAUCAGUGACCAUAAACAGCAGCUAGCUUAACUGAGAUCACUGGUAGCCCAGGGUUGCUACCAAACUUUGUAACCUCAAGGACAAAAUGAGGAAGAUGUGUUCAUUGUGGACUCUAAAAACAAAGCAAAACACAAAAUCCCCUGUUCAAAUUAACAAAAAAUCCAAGAUUGAUUCAUGAAAUAAAGAAGACAUGAAUUGUUUUAAGUCUACACUUUGUAAUUAGCUAAGUUGUGCAGUAUUUUUUGACUUAAACAGAGUAUGACCCUGAAAAAUAAAAGAAUCUUUUUUUCAAAACUCAUCCUACCUACCUGUAAAAACUGUACAAAGCUAAUGUAUUUUUCAUAUUGUAAAGUUUCAAUUGUAGAAACAACUGGUAUGUACAGUACCAUAAUUUAAUUACAUUUUACUUUAAAAACUUUACACAUUUCAGUUUCUAAAAUUUUAAAUUAACAAAAAUUAUUUCUUGUGUUAUUCAGAGUUACUCAGUUUUGUAGGGACUGUUUUGUUACUGCUUUUGUGCCCAGAAACCUUGACUCUAAAAUUCUGUGCUGUGGGAAACAUGCACGAUUUUUAUUAUGCUUACUGCGUAGAAUUUUAUCUACUUGUUCCAGAAAUAAUACAUUAACCAAAAAGGAUUUAAUUGUUCAGACUUGUAAGAGGUUCUUCAAUUACAUAGACAGGUUUUUCUUAAAAAUGAAAAAAAAAAAAUCAAAGAUUUUUUUAACAGUUCUCAGACUUAACUGUUGCCUUGAAUUACAGCCUAGUUUCUAAGCAGUGAAAUGUAAUGAUAAAGAGGGAUAUUUUAACAUAUUUCCGAAUGAAUGAUUCAUUAUUUCAUUCUUUUGAGUAACCAUUGUUAAGGGUUGGGGGGAAGCAUGGACAAAACAUCACUGGAAACAAAGGCUGUAACCACAGCAACAGACUUUGUGAUACAGUUAAAAGGUGCAGCUACCAGUGACAAAUAAAAACUUUUGUUACAUCUCAUUAUUUUCAGGCCAAGGUGGGAGUAUAGUGCAUAAUAAUUGUACAGUAGCAAUUUUUCUCCUAAUUAACCCAUAGCCAUUUGCCUAAAAGUAACCAUCAGUCAGUGCAAAAUGUGCCUGGUUCUUAAGACAACUUUUUAUUUAGAACCAUGAGACCAGUAUUUUGGAAACAUUUCAAAGGAAACAUAUGAAUUUUUUUUUGCAUUGUGCACUACAUCAUUUCUCUCCUGAGGAAGAAUUUUUAACAUGUACAGCUCGUUCAAUAUUGAUAUGAGCCACGGUGCAGAACUUUAUCACUCGAGUAGACUGUAAACAUCCUUAGUAUGUUCUAAAUUGUUUAUAUUGCUAUCCAUAAUGGGAGUCACCUCCAAAUUAUCAAAGAAAUAACUCAGAGUAAUUUGACACCAGCCCAGAUCACAUAUUGAUUACACGAUUGUAUUAUAAAGUUAACUCAAAUCAAAUUAAGAAAACCUGAGUUUUGAGAAGCUGAAAUAAUCAACUUGUUUGUGCUGUUUGCUUGACAUAGGUUAUUGUUUGAAAAUAUUGUUACGUUAUCAAUAGUAAUCAGGCAUUCUUGUGUUUUUUUUUUAAAUGGAAAACUGCAAGUUUCAAUUACUGUUGCACUAGAAGUGCUUUUAUGUUGUCAUUUUAUAUUCAUGCCAUCAAAAGUAGAUUGGCAUAUCAAUCUAACAGGGGUCAAUGAAAACAAUGAAGAAAAGAAUAACUGAAAACAACAUCAAACUUUUAAAUUUUUAUCUCUUCCAAAGAAAUUAUAUCUACAAAAUCUAGUUUUAUGCAGGUUUGUCACAGCAAAUUUAAAAGCAGCUUCAAGAAGAAUGAACUCAAAAACUGUGGAGCAAAUUUUUGUGGAAAAUAUAUAAAGUCAGAAAGAAAAAAAGAUGUAAAUGUUGGAAGAAGCAAAUUCUAUUACUAAUUCAAAUGAAACUAAAUGUCAAACACAGUACUUGUGUCAACUAUUUAGCAUCCCAGAUUUUGUAACAUAUUUUGCAUAAAUUAUUUGCUAUUCAAAAAUUUUUGUCAUUUUAAAUCUAAUUUUAAUCUUUAUGUUUUCCAUUUUCUAAUUUCCUUGCAAUGUAUUAUUCUUAGAGUGUUCUUAAUUUUCUACAUUGAAAUUUGGCUUUACGUCGUUAGCAAAUUUAUAAAGGGUUAUAAAGCUAUAAUUUGUGAGUCUAAAAUCAAACGCAAAAUUUUAUUUAUUAUGUAAACCAAAAUGUCAUUUGCAAGCUUUCUCAUUAGAAGUUGUCCUUGCAAAGAUAGAAAAGGAAGAAUUAAUUUGUGUAAACAAGCACAAAUUAACAUAUUUGUUAAUAAAUAGGUUUAUCUACUAAUAAACCUAUUUCUAGAAACAUUCAAAUUGAUAAUGAUUUUUAGAAAUGUAAAGUUUCCAAGGAGUCUUACAAGUGUAUGCCCUUGAUUUCCUGAAGGAAACCACUUUCUUUCUUAAAUAUUUUACGUUCAUCUAAAGUGAAACACUAUAAAUAGAAGCAAUCCUUGGAACCACAGCUCUGUGCAACCAAGGCCCUAAGCUACACCAAACAAGCCAGGAAUUUUGAGACUUCUCAUCUUUAAAUUCAACCAAAAGGGUAUUUAACAAGACAAAAAUGCUGGAUUAUUAUUAUUAUUUUUGCUUAAUUUUUAUUCUGCCAUGUCCAGGUUAAGGGUGAGGGUGGUGACAAUCUGAUAGAAAGAUUGUGUCUGGAAUCUUUAUCACAUAUUUCCAAUUUAUUUCAGUUUUUGUCUAAAACUUGCAUUUCUAAUCUACCUUUUUCAGCAUUCAAUAAUCUUCCAUUUCCUCCUUCUACCCCCCAUUCCUAUGUCUCCCUUCCUGUCUAUUCCUCACCGAUUUAAACAACUGAAAUGUUUACUUAUGCUUGGAGUUGAAAAAUGGAGAGGUUGACUCAGCAUGGUUACAAUAACAACCAGCAGCUGCAGCAAACCAUAAAGUUAUACAGUGUUUUGAAGUUUACACAUCACAUUUUACAUAAAUUAUCUCAUUUUGUCUUCAUAACAACCCUAUGAAGACACAUUAAUCUCAAAGAAGUUGAGCCCUCACCCCAAAACACAGGGCUAAUAAUUGGUGCAGUUGAAUUAUUCUCAAAAUUUACAGGCUGUUAGUCUUUCCACUAUACUAAAAGCUUUCUUUCUCUGAUCAGAGCCAGAGAACUUCCAGAGAUAAUGGAUAGAAUGAAAGAAAAAAAAAUACAUAUAUAUAUAUAUGUAUUUUUUGACAUGUUGUUUAGUAAUCCCUACUUUAAUUCCAUUCUCCAUCUGUAAAAUAUUAGCUAACUGAAUUAUUUCUGUGUUCUACUAUGGGCUCUCACAUUAAAACUCUGUUCAAAAAGUUUAACAAGUCACAUAUUUCUUAACAUACAAGUUCAUUUGUAAAUGUACAGAACAGAUGCUCCCAAGAUGUGGAUGCAUGUAGGCCCCAAAGUACAGACAUAAAAUCAAGGAAGCACAAGGAAAGAAACCCCAAGGAAAAACCUAAAGACCUUCUAAAUUGAGACUGCAUAAGUAUAAAAGAGAUCCAUAGUACAGGGUUGAACACAUGCUCAAUACUUUGUCAACUGAACACAGGUUCAAUUCGGAGCUAAUUGGGAAGACAUAUAAAAUUCUUUUUCUUUUUUGCUUUUGGCAAGAUUUCUUCUUAAACCAUGAAUUUUUUUUAACUUGUAAUAAUAGAGAACAACUUUCUCUAUUCUCCUUAUAAGAAAAAUAAAAUAUAAUUUAUCCAAAUUGAUGUAUAGAACCUAAAACAUAUGCUAACUUGCAAAUAAUAUAUUUUACUGAUCAACUCAUUUUUGUCAAGUCUCUAUUUCUAGUCCCUCCUGAAUGUUUUAGAAAACCAUGAAACUAUACAGAUUUUUAAUACAAAUUACAUUUUUACAAGGAAAGAAAACAUUUCCAAAUUUAACACUCAAGACUAAUCACAUAAUCCUAAUUUGAACUCAGAUCUCUCUGACUCCAUAGACUGCUUAGAAAUAGUAAAAUCUUUUUGCAAAAAUAUUUUCUAAAAUAAAACUAUUGUAUAUGAGAGUAAAAAUAUAUUUGUUUUUGAUUGUUCCUCACUGGAAGACAGAUAUCAUCUCUCAAACUAAACAUUCAAAAUAAGAAACUGAAUGCAUGAAAACCAAUACCUGAUGUGAAUUGUUGUUAUUAAGCUGUAUGAAAGAAAUGCAGAUGUUCUGGGUAUGUCAGAGCACACAAAAGAAGAGGUUAUGGGACUGGCAAGUAUUUGGUCUCAGGAGAAAAGGUGAAAAUUUUCCAGAAUAGAUAUAGUAGCAUCUUAUAUUGGCACAGCUCUUAACAGUUUAUAAUGUUGGGUAAUAUAACAAUCUCCUAAUUCAUCAAAAAGUCUCAAGGUGCAGAUGAAUUGGUCUUGCAAUAAGGAAGAGCUUCCAACUCCUCCCAUGACCUUCCCAAUUUUCCCCAACUGUCCCUAAAUAGGGAGGUGCCAAGUGCAAAGGACCCAGGAGCAAUGCUUUCAAAAUUCUGAUUUGUCCCAAAGGUAGGGUACCUGGACAAUCAACAAUUGGGCUUCAUUUUAUCAUCAAUAUUAAUGGGAAAGAAACAUUUGAAAAUUUAAAACCAAGCAAACACACACACACAUCAAAGUGGUGGUGGGUCUUUUUUGAAGGUCUCUCAUGACUUGUAUUACAGUUUUAUUGUGAGAUGGGAGGCAACUUAUAUUUAAUUUCUUUAGGGUAAAAUUCACGUUUUAAAAGGUCCACUGUUGAUUUUUUUAUUCUAUGAAGGACAGUGAUCUUACAGCAGCAGAGUGCCUCAGCCAUCUAGGACUUAGGCUACUACGUUUCUUCCUCCUAGCUCUCAUUUAUAAAUUCGUGUUAUAUGAUAUUUGUCUUUCUGAAAAGGUGAGUGAAAAUUUGUUUUGUGUAAAUCAAAUAAUAUUUCAAAUGUAUCAAGAGACCUUGUGAUAAAGGAACCUUGAAAUUGUUUUCUAAUCUAAAAUAUUACCCACUAAUUUAUCUUUUUAAAAUUGAUUUCCAUAUGCCUUGCGUUGUUAUAAUGCAGCACACUUGUACUGCAUGGUUUAAAGGUUCUGCAAGACAGUCUUUGCCUCAGCCUACAGGAAAUGGCACUCUGACUCCAGGUUUUGAGUUGGUCAAUAUGAGCAGUUUCAGUCAUUUCCACUUACUGACUUUAUCUGGACUAAUGUGGAAAAUAGUGGUAAGACAACAUGGAUGGAUAAAGUUGACAAAUAAUUUUAUUUGUUUAAACUUUGUCACUUAUUAUAUCCUUGAAGUUACUAGUAAGAGGUCAAGAUGACUCCAAAUCCCUUGUGUCAAUACUAGAUUUACUGAAUCAGAAUCACUGGGAUGGAUCCCAAAAUGUGCAUUAAGACAUGACUGAGGUGAUACUAAUGCAUGCUAAGUUUUGAAAAAUAUUGCUCAAAUGAAUUUACUUUUCCCAAGUCAUUCAAUUGCUUUCUAUUCUAAUAUAAAAUUGUGAAUUCUUGUGCUUUCCCAUAUCAAUGUGAAUCUAGUUUUCUAAGCCUGACUGAACAUUUUUCUUGACUGAGGAAAGCAUACCAAAAGACAACUAUACAUAAAAUGCUCAGGUUGCUUCCUGACAGACUGUUGUUUAUAGAUUUUAUUCCCCAUUAACUCUUUCAAGAGGCAUAUCUGAAAACAGUCUUAAGGCAGCUGGGUUAGUUACUUGUUAGUUGUACCCAUGAAUAUAACGACUGAAAAGCUGGAUGUGGGGAGAGAGGCAGGAAGUAAUUUAUGAUGUAUCAGGCACUAUGUCCUCCUUGUCUCAUUUUUAAAGCAUUUUAGCAGAGAAGUAUAACCACUAUUUUAAAGAAAGGAAAAUAAGGCUCAUAGUAAUUAAAUAACUUGCCAAGACUCACACAGUGGAGCUGGAGAUUCAGAUUUAGAUUUGUUAGGCUCUAAGGAUGUGCUCCUACCCCCGAUAGCACAUUUUCAAAAGUGAGAAGAGAUUAUAAUCAAUAUAACAAGGCUUAUAUAUUUUAAUGGGGGGUGUUGAACACAGCAGAAAAAGUAUUUGCCUUUCUAUUUCCAAAUAGAAAAAUUAUCUUACACUGUGUAGAGACUUCCUUCAAUAUCCUAAACCAGCAGCCUAAUGGAAAAAAACACCCAAUAUUUUCUUUAAGUUUUAUACAUGGUUUCCUAAAAGGAGUAGACAUUUGAAAAAAAAAUUCUUCAAAACAUAAAUACCCCUGAAUAUUGAUGUCAUAUUUUUAUUUCCAAUCACCUCAGUUCUUUAUAAAUUUACAGCCAAAAUAUGAUAAAGAAAUAUCAAUAAUAUAACCUUCAACUGGCCAAAAAAAAAAAAGAGGGGAGGUUGCAAAUUUUAGCCAAAACUAUAUGGAUAAAUGAUCAAUAAAGUCACCAACUGCAAAUGACAAAGUGGAGAAAAACACCAAUAAUCUACAGUCACAAACUGUAACUGGCAAUGAUAUGACUUGGGCUACAGAACAUUUCUUGUGAAUUAUUUUAAAUGGCAAUACUCCUUAUAGGAGUAUUGUAACUUACACAGAUGAUAUGGGAUCUGGAAGCAUACUACAUCAAAGGAGGCUGAAAGAUAACCUUUAUAACAAGGCAGACUCUACGUGUCCUACUCAGAAUGUAAUAUGUAGUUUAAAUAUAAAAUAAAUAUCAUUUCCUUGUUUCAUUACUAUGUGGAGAUGGACAAAUAAAAUUAUUUGUUGAAAUUUAUUUUUAAACUCACAUCUUGAAAAACAUCUUCCUCAGUCUCAGCUAUUCACAAAUGAUUCUUAGUCUCUCGACUCCAUUAGUGCCUCAGGAGCUUUUUAUUAAACCUCUGAGUUAUCUCUUCUAUCUCUUCCUGAACUCCACAAGUGCAAGUAAUCUCAUUGGUUUAACUACAUUAGCAUUUUACUCCAUCACAGGAUCUGAACAUGUAGCAUCCAUGAAAAACAUACUUCCAUAAUACAUAUAGCAUUCAAGAGCCAGUAAAGCACUCUCUAAGUCACGCCUCCUACUAAAAAUGGUCACAUCUAUAACUGUGAUAAAAAUUAGGCUAUAAGUUUAAAACAAUAAAUUCAGCAAAGAAAGAAAUUCUAGCACCCUGGAUCUAAUAUCAUUGUGUCUUCUCAUUCUGGCACCAUUACCACCAUACAGAAAUGUUAUCUGAAAUAUGUAGAAUAAUUCUGAUUGUGGACAACAAAGAUGCUCCUGUUAUGUGGGUUGAAGAUGUGGUGAAAGGCAACAAAGAAGACAAAAAUUACACAUACCAAGAUCCAUAAAUACAAUGCCCUAAACAGUCUGAUGAAAAUGUGGUGAAAGAUUGGUCACCGCUGUUUUUCUGUUCUAUCAUAAGGCAAUUAUCAGAGUGGAAUGACCACCAUAGUGGGGAGCUGGAAAUAUUAUCUUUAAAGUCCUCGCUACAGGUCUUAUUUUAUAUAAAUUUAUAAAAUAGGAAAAAUAUUGCCUUGAGGCAAAAGCCCGAAAGCCCACACCAGCUCUAGUCUGACUACACUUAACACCAGAGAGGUCUAGGGAAAGACGCUGAACAUCUCUGAACUUACAUGCUAUCUGGAGAAAAGCUUGAGAUCCUUGUGAUGUCAACAUUUUUUUGCCUUUGGAUGCGAUGGAAACUUAAGUUCAGUUAACGGACGUCCUUCAAAACUCCCUGCCAGUUUCCUCUUUAACAAACUUCAAACCUGAAUUUCUUGAGCCAACACUGGCUUUAACACACAGCUAUUUAACAAUGAACCCUUGUUACACUUCAUCAUUUUGUGGAAGAAUUACAUAAUUGGGGUUGUAGCCCUUAUCAGCUUUUCCCUUGCCUUUGGAUCAAGUUACGGGAUAAAACAUGUGAACUUGAUAUGGCACAUUGGUACUACCACAGGUGGAUUGGAAGAAGAGUUUCUAACAUACAAACAUUUUAUGUAAUAUAAAACUGAAAUGUAGUUUAGGGCCACUUCUUUUUAACUUAAUAAUCUGAUAUAAUUUUCAGAUAACUGCAUGCUUUCCUGCCACUGAUAAUAUAAAUAUUAUUGUCUGUAAUGAAAACAUGGUUUUGUUGUCAUAUACUUUCGCUUUCUGAGGACAGAGUUCAGACAACUGAUUGUGUUCUGUAAUUACCACAAAGAAUGACUAUUUAUUUUCAGAAAGAACGGCUUAGUGCCAAGCACUUUAAGACAACAUAACAACUAACACUUACUGAAUGUUUACUUUUCUAAGCAUUUUAUGUGUAUUCAUUCAUUCAGUCAACAUUAAUAUGAAAAACAAUUAAUAAUAAUCCUAUGAAGUAGAUACUAUUGUUUUUCCCUGAGGAAGAUAAGAAACUGAUGCACAGAGCAAUUAUAUAACAUAUAGCUAGUAAAUUGUGCAACAAGGAUUCAAAUCCAGUUGACCGAUCUAUUGAAAAACUGACCCCUCUAACUGCUCAUUUAAGGACCACUCUAUGGACCCCAAUGUUAAGUUCAAAAUUCUACCUAUUUAAGGCUAUCACUGAGACAUUUUUUUUUCAAUAUAAUUGAUGUGUUUAUUACAUACCUAAUAUAUGCCCAUUGGAAGGUAAGAAAAUUUUAGAGAUACAUGAGUGUAUGAUAUAGUCCCUUGUCCCCAAUGGACUUACAGUCUUAGCAAAGAGAAAAGACAUCCAUAUUCAACAGAAAUAAAAUUCAAGAACUAAGUUUAAUACCUGCAAUUGUAAACAGCAGUUAGGAGAAGAUAAAAUCAAAGUUAAUAAGGUUGUUGGGAAUAUCUCAAGGCAAAAGUGAUAAAUGACAUAGAACUUAAAACUAGCAGUAUUCAGAUGGGCCAGACAAAGAUGGGAGGGCAGUGAAGGGAGAAUAUUAUAUUUUUAUUUACUGACAUCUAUUAUUCCAAUAGGAUUUGUUAGAUUCAUGCUUCUCUGGAAGAAAAAGACCAGGCUCAAUUUUUGUCCUGAUUGCCUAAAAGUUCAGAGCCAAAUUUUACUCUCACCACAGUAAAUCUCUUGGCUUUUCUAGGCAGGCAUAAAUAUUUCCCAAAUUUUUCUGAACUCUGAUUCUCUUUACAUUUCUAUUUUAUCUUAUUUGGGGUGGGGGAAAAGCAUAUUAAUCCUUUGUUUAAAAUGUUAUGUCAGUUUCAAUAAAAUGUUCAUAAACCAUUUUGAAGACAGAUCCAGGAAAUGGUAUUAAUUUCAAAUAAUUAUGUGAAUUACAUCAAACAACUUUUUAAAAGCUAGUAAUUGUAACAUCCUCCGUCAAACUACUGUUUGGCACAAAUGAAAACACAUCCUUUAGCUUGAUUGACUUUCUUUUUUUCAACUUUUUUAGUCUUUAUGUCAGUACUGGUGAAUAUUAACCAGAAUUUUUAUUUCAAAGAGUAAAAAUAAAAAUCAUUUUUGAUUGCUAUAUUUUACAAACAAACUACAGUAGAAUAUUAUUAAAGACCAUGAUCAAAAUCAUUUAGUUGAUAGUGAGACAGCCAGGUGUGAGGGGUCCCUGACAAAACUCCAACCAGUCUGCACACUGGGAAUGUGCACUUGGGUGGACUCACACACAGGUUCUAGUCCAUUUGCAGCAAGGAAGAGCCUGCCCCCUCCUCUUCCUGUGUGGAACCUGGGAUUCAAGUGGCUAAGCAGGAAGUGCUCUAGCAGGGACUCUGCCCUUGCGGAGAGUCCCUGUUUCCCCCUUUUCUUUCUUUUCAACCAAUAAAACGCUGUCUUACUCACCAUUCAAAUUGUCUGUGAACCUGAAUUUUCGUGGCCAUGGGACAAGAGGCCUAUCUUUAGCUGAAAUAAGGAAAAGUCCUGCAACAAUAGCAAACAGACCAGUACUAGAAUGUACAUUUACUUAGAAUUAUUUUUCACUAGAGUGAAGUAUUUUUAGUUUAUGAAUGCACUGACAUUUAGGAAUAUGCAGAAAUAUUUCUGCCUUAAAAGUACAAAUAAUUGUCAGUAAAGUUGUCAUUUAAAAAAUAUAGUCAAAUAUAUAUAUUUAUAAUCUGAAACAUGAUGCAUAAGAAGCUACUUUAGUUUUUUGAAUUUUUCAAGUGGAGAAAUAUUCUCUUCAUCAAACUCUGCUCAUCACUUGGACUAUUAAUUUACGGUUAUCUCUGUGUUUAUUUGGGAGGUACAAUUUUCAUUCAUGGGUAUUUGUUCAAUGUGUCUUGUCUUCUCUAUAUUUUACAUUUAAUAUACAUUUAAUUUAAUAUGAUAUUUUGAUAUUUUUAAUUCUAAUCAAUAAAAUAAGCAUUUAUUCAUUUGUAUUACGGUAUUCCAGUUACUGUGAUGUGAGACACAGUGAUCGAUGCUUAUAGUGAAUAAGUUAUUGUGACUCAAUGUGAUAUUUCUAAAAAUGAAGUCUGCACAUGAUACUGUGAAAUGAUCGGGUUUACUGCAAAUCAGAAAAGGCAUCACAGAGUAAAUGCUAUUUGAGAAACUUUAGGUUUGCCAUUUAUAAAACCCAGGUCUGUCCUACAGGCUCCACAUCCAGCUCCUAACUAAAAUUUAGAAGUCUUUAGAUGUCUGUGGGUAUUAUCAUCCAGAAAACUAGGACUCUAAUAGUUUCUGAGUCUAGUAUUCUCCCCAUAUAGCUACUCAGUUUUUUCUAGUCUAUAUGUCAAAUAAAAUUUUGAAAAAAUUACCCCUUCCCACAAUCUUUUCAAAUUAAUCCUCAGAUGAAAAGGAUUUAAUUUAGCUAUUCCAUGAUAAAUAAAAAAUAUGCAAUUUUAUUGAAUAAACUUAGAGUAAUUAAUAAAUAAAUGUAAUGUACGGUCAGAAGUUUUCUGUUUUGUUUCAUUUGUAAAAUGUCCAUUAAAAUGCUACCUAUGUGGGUUAAAAAGCCUAUAAGACAAUUCCAACUUCAGGAAUAUGUGAAAACAUGUAGAAAGGGUAUAUUGUGUAAUUUAAAUUUUUAUCAUCUACAGGUUAUGGCAUAAGACUGAUAUGAAAAUGAAUGAGAAUUAGGUUUCAUGUAGACUCUUUUGUCUUUUGUUCUAUUACUAUAAAAUGUUUCAUUUAAAAGUAGGGAAAAAUUAGUAAGAUGGUGAAUUUGCCUGAUAUACCAAUAAGCACAGUUGUUUUGGAAGUUGCUUGGUACCAUUGACUCUUUGCAUCUUUAAAUAUGUAUUUCUUUCCUUAACACUUCUCUUUAUGAGAAUACCAUUACUCUCAAAGGAUUCCAAUGUUUAUUUUGUGCUCAUGGCACUUUUUUAUUUAAAUUUUCAAGAAUGCACUUCGCAUUAAGAUGAACCAAAAUAGUAUUAGUGAAUUCAGCAACCAGUUUAAGGCAUAGUUCUCUGAUCUUCCUACUUAAGAAAAUGAAGGCUGGGCAUGGUGGCUCAUGCCCGUAAUCCCAGCACUUUGGGAGUCGGAGGCAGGCAGAUCAUGAGGUUAAGAGAUCCAGACCAUCCUGGCCAACAUGGUGAAAACCUGUCUCUACUAAAAAUACAAAAAUUAGCCGGGCAUGGUGGCGGGUGCCUAUAGUCCCAGUUACUGGGGAGGCUGAGGCAGGAGAAUGGCGUGAACCCAGGAGGCAGAGCUUGCAGUGAGCCGAGAUCGCACCACUGCACUCCAGCCUGGGUGACAGAGUGAGACUCUGUCUCAAAAAAAAAGACAAAGAAAGAAAGAAAAUGAAUGUAUUUUAAUUUUAGAAUUUCAGAACAUAUCAGUAUUAACUCGAAGAAAGUCAUCAUGAAUAAUGCUAUUUUAAUGAAUGCCAAGGGAAUUGUGCCUAAUAUUCUAAAAUACUCUUGAGGAUUAUGAAGAGUGUGCAGUAUGGCAAAGGCAGCCAUGAGAAUACCCAAUAUAUAAAAUGUAUACUAUAUACAAAUAAUUAUUUCUCAAAAAUAUAAAUUUUCACUCUAGAUAGUUUUCUACAGGGUGGUACAUGCUAUGUGGUAGUAAAUGAGCCUGUAAAAACUGAACUCAUUAGACCACAACUACUUCUAUUAAAUAUCCAAAACAUCCUCAAUGUGAAUGUUUUGAAUUUAUCUUUUAUAUGUGAAGAGUCUAUAAUUUGUUAGUGACUAUAAAUUAAACCUUUAGAUUUUUUAAGUUUCACAAUUGUUCUGUAUUCCAAUUAAGAGGCUCAAAAUCUAGUCUGGGAAACUCCACUUGGUUUACAAAAAAAAAAAAUCAAUAUGCUUUUUAUUUCAUGGGGCUCUGGGACUGUUAAGAUUAGCAUGAAAUACUGACAUUUACACUCCUGAGUGGACUACAAGGGGAGCAGGAUGGAAUGAUGAUGGCAAGUAAUUGGACAAUUGGACAGUCUCCAGAAAGGCUUGAAAAAUACUAUUAAAUCUCCAUCUGCUGAUUGAAAAUUCCAGGUUCAUAAGGUAUAACAAUAGCUGAAACACAAACCUUAGAUGAUCUCUACCUUUCUUUCCAGGUUUGUACCCCACCUACUUUGCAAGAACCUGUGACGAUUUUUUCGUUAAAACAUCUGCAUAAUUAAACAUUUUAGGCUAAUGAUGACAAGACAACAGGCCAUAUUUUAUUACUUUUGUUGAACUGCCCAGUGUAUAUCACAUUUGCUAUAAUUACUCAAAAACUCCUGCCUUGAAAAUAUGUUAUAAUUUUUUAAAAAAGAAAAUAAGGAAAAGGGAAGAAAUAGAUGAAAAAUUAAAUUAGGGUCUUACACUUAUAAUGAGAUAGUUCUAAGGAGGGAAGACUUAACCUAAGUAAGUUUUCAUUCCUUUGAAUUAGUGGAAUAAAUACAUCUUAAAUUUCUCCAUUCCAUUAGGACAGAUCACAGGCAAACUUGCUGAGGGAGUAAGUGAAGAACAGUUAUAGUUUCAGGGUCCUAAAUCAACCACAGGGAGAAUAAUAUAUUACUCUGCUUAUUUUACCCUUCCUCUCCUCUUCACGUUUAUGUCUUCUUCAGUAUUUCCUUCUCAGUUUGAGUUUUAUAUAGCAUAUGACAUACACAUAUGUGCCAACACAAUGUGAGUGAUAAGACUAGAAGAGGAAAAGCUUACAUUAAUUUAUCUUGAAAAAUGAAAUGUCCAAUUAUACAAUAUUAUAGAGUGCUAAUAGCUCACCAAAUAACAUAAAUAAGAUUACAUUUCACUCAGUGCCAGACCUGACAAUCAAACCUAGAUUCCAAAGUAAGUCUUUCUUUUUUUCAAUAGAUUGAAUAUACUAGAGGUUAAGAAAAUUCACAUAAGGCCUAAACUCCUCUUUUAAAAAAUCCUUUGACAUUUCUCAUAAAAACAGCUCUUUGCCUGUGGCUCAAUUUAGGACCUUCACAAAUCCCUUGAAUAAUGAAGGUCUUGGUUUUAAAUGACUGUUUAUGUGUGGCAUUCUAUGAAAGGUCCAGAAGUUUGUUAGGGACAAUUGCUAAAAAAUUAAAAUAUCUCAAGAUUAUUUUCAUUAAACCAAUAUGUGUUAGAAAGUUAUCUAUUGGAGUAUAUUCCAUAUACUUAACAUAAUAUUAUUAUAAUAGAUGGCAAGAUAAAAAGAAAUCCUCUACAGGAUAUUCCCAUUUCUCUCCAGAGUCAUGGUAUCACAGACAACACACCAGUCUCCCCAGGAUACCACUAUAAUUUAAUACAUGCAAAGUAUCAAUCUAAUUUACCUGUCACUGAUUAGGAAAUUCCAAUAGUAAGUUUCUCACCACAGCAAAUCCUGAAGAACUAGUAUUUAAGCUAUUUCAUUAUGAAGUGAAAAAAAUCAUUUAGAAAUAAAAGUACCAGUUAGUAACAAAUUAUGUACAAGUCACUCUAGCACAGUGUAUUUCAAUCACUUCAGUAUUUUUAGCCUCCCAAAAAAAGUGUCAGAAACGAGGCAUGAAAAGCUAUUAAAUGAAUCAUUCACAUGUUGAAUAGAUGUUGCCAUCAGUUUGUUCUCUCAAUGGAAAUAAUGAACAACUGAUUUAUUUAUAACUGGUCAUGAUGAUAAUACACCUUCAUGUUCCACCCUUUUCAAUAUAUUAUGGUUAUGUUAUAACUGUCUUAUUUUAUACUUGAUCUAAAAUCAUAUGCUUCCAUAAAAAUGUCUUCUUUUCCAGGCUUUCCCUUAACUUUAAUGUUCCUUUGGCUUGGGGUGUAAUUAAAAUGUUUUUACUGA